Molecule: ribosomal RNA, 361 nt
Filed under: uncultured bacterium
Lineage: Bacteria
Description: partial 16S ribosomal RNA
Rfam family: Bacterial small subunit ribosomal RNA
Source: RNAcentral
CCUACGGGAGGCAGCAGUGAGGAAUAUUGGUCAAUGGCCGGAAGGCUGAACCAGCCAAGCCGCGUGAAGGACGAAGGUGCCAAGCGUUGUAAACUUCUUUUGUCAAGGGACAAAAUCAGACUCGAGAGCCUGACCGAGGGUACUUGAAGAAAAAGCAUCGGCUAACUCCGUGCCAGCAGCCGCGGUAAUACGGAGGAUGCGAGCGUUAUCCGGAUUUAUUGGGUUUAAAGGGUGCGUAGGCGGGCUGUUAAGUCAGCGGUAAAAGCCCGGGGCUCAACCCCGGCGAGCCGUUGAAACUGGUUGGCUAGAGAUGUCGAGCGGUAUGCGGAAUGUGUAGUGUAGCGGUGAAAUGCUUAGAGAU